UUCGGAGAGGGAGCAUGAGAAACGGCUACCACAUCUAAGGAAGGCAGCAGGCGCGUAAAUUACCCAAUCCUGACUCAGGGAGGUAGUGACAAGAAAUAGCAAACCGGGAACCUCAUGGUUUCACGGUAUUGCAAUGAGAACAAUUUAAAACCCUUAGCGAGAAUCAAGUGGAGGACAAGUCUGGUGCCAGCACCCGCGGUAAUUCCAGCUCCACUAGCGUAUAUUAAAGUUGUUGCAGUUAAAAAGCUCGUAGUUGAACCUCUGUCUGGGGCUAGUUUUGGCUUUGGUCAGGCUAGUUCUAGGCAUCCGCCUACAAGACUUAGAGGGCAUUCAGUUGUUCACUAGGAGGAGUAGGCAUUUUACUUUGAAAAAAUUAGAGUGUUUAAGGCAGGCAAUCGCCCGCAUAUAUUAGCAUGGAAUAAUAGAAUAGGACACUUUUCCAUUUCGUUGGUUAUUGGAAUCGUGUAAUGAUUAAUAGGGACAGUUGUGGGCAUUUGUAUUUAAUUGUCAGAGGUGAAAUUCUUGGAUUUAUUAAAGACAAACUAACGCGAAAGCAUUUGCCAAGGAUGUUUUCAUUAAUCAAGAACGAAAGUUAGGGGAUCAAAGACGAUCAGAUACCGUCCUAGUCUUAACUAUAAACUAUUCCGACUCAAUGUUUGACUGGCUUAUAUAACCAGUUGAGCGUUGUAUGAGAAAUCAAAGUCUUUAGGUUCUGGGGGGAGUAUGGUUGCAAAGCUGAAACUUAAAGGAAUUGACGGAAGAGCACAACCAGGAGUGGAUUCUGCGGCUUAAUUUGACUCAACACGGGGAAACUUACCAGGUUAAAACAAUAGUGGGAUUGACAGUUUGAGAGCGCUUUCUUGAUUGGUUGGGUGGUGGUGCAUGGCCGUUCUUAGUUGGUGGAGUGAUUUGUCUGCUUAAUUGCGUUAACGAACGAGACCUUAACCUGCUUACUAGACUGGCGAUCAUCAAUCGUUAGCUCUUCUUAGAGGGACUUUGGUUGUUUUAACUCCAAGGAAGUUUGAGGCAAUAACAGGUCUGUGAUGCCCUUAGAUAUCCUGGGCCGCACGCGUCAUACAAUGACUAGUUCAGAAAGUUUCUCCUGACCCGAAAGGGGAUGGGUAAUCUUGAUAAUACUAGUCGUGUUAGGGAUCGAUCUUUGCAAUUAUAGAUCUUGAACGAGGAAUUCCUAGUAAGUGCGGUUCAUCAGACCGUACUGAUUACGUCCCUGCUCUUUGUACACACCGCCCGUCGCUUCUACCGAGUGGGUGGUCCGGUGAGAUAAUUGAACUUCGCAGGUAACUGAGAGGAAAGAUUAUCAAACCUAUCCACCUCGAGGAAGAAGAAGUCGUAACAAGGUU
This 1361-nucleotide ribosomal RNA is filed under the name metagenome. Its description in RNAcentral is "SSU rRNA". It matches the Rfam family "Eukaryotic small subunit ribosomal RNA", at positions 382 to 1801 of the family's 1831-position model. The record is from RNAcentral.